RNAcentral lists this transfer RNA (58 nucleotides) under Salmo salar (Atlantic salmon). It matches the Rfam family "tRNA", at positions 8 to 63 of the family's 71-position model. Rfam says of the family: Transfer RNA (tRNA) molecules are approximately 80 nucleotides in length. Their secondary structure includes four short double-helical elements and three loops (D, anti-codon, and T loops). Lineage: Eukaryota; Metazoa; Chordata; Actinopteri; Salmoniformes; Salmonidae. The record is from Rfam by way of RNAcentral.
UAGCUCAGUUGGUAGAGCAUUGUGUGUGCAACGCCAGGGUUGUGGGUUCGAUUCCCAC